This 139-nucleotide microRNA precursor is filed under the name Pelobates cultripes (western spadefoot toad). The record is from RNAcentral. Lineage: Eukaryota; Metazoa; Chordata; Amphibia; Anura; Pelobatidae.
AGCAGUGUUCUCCAACCCAGUCCUCAUGGACCCCCAACAGUCUAGGAUUUAUGUAUUUCCCUUUUUUUUUUCCAAUGGAGAUACUGACAAAACCUGGACUGUUGGUGGUCCAUGAGGACUGGGUUGGAAAACACUGGAC